This 250-nucleotide ribosomal RNA is filed under the name uncultured bacterium. RNAcentral's name for it is "partial 16S ribosomal RNA". It matches the Rfam family "Bacterial small subunit ribosomal RNA", at positions 524 to 776 of the family's 1533-position model. The record is from RNAcentral.
CACGGGAGGGGCAGGCGUUAUUUAUCUUUAUUGGGCGUAAAGGGUGUGUAGGCAACCAAAACUUUUGACGUGAAAGGCUAAGGUUAAUCUUAGCAGGGCGGCAAAUAUGAAUUGGCUAGAGUUGGAGGGUGGUGUUGGAAUUCUAAAAGUAGAGGUGAAAUUCAUCAAUCUUUUUAAGAAUGUCAUGAGCGAAGGCGAGCACCAAGAGCUAAACUGACGCUGAGGCACGUAGGCAUGGGUAGCAAACAGG